AGAACUGUGUAUGGACGUCAGU
RNAcentral lists this microRNA (22 nucleotides) under Xenoturbella bocki. Its description in RNAcentral is "Xbo-Mir-219_3p (mature (guide))". Lineage: Eukaryota; Metazoa; Xenacoelomorpha; Xenoturbellidae. The record is from RNAcentral.